RNAcentral lists this ribosomal RNA (422 nucleotides) under uncultured Hymenobacter sp. RNAcentral describes it as "bacterial SSU rRNA". It matches the Rfam family "Bacterial small subunit ribosomal RNA", at positions 355 to 774 of the family's 1533-position model. The record is from RNAcentral. Lineage: Bacteria; Pseudomonadati; Bacteroidota; Cytophagia; Cytophagales; Hymenobacteraceae.
UAGGGAAUAUUGGGCAAUGGACGAGAGUCUGACCCAGCCAUGCCGCGUGCAGGAAGAAGGCUUUCUGAGUCGUAAACUGCUUUUGACAGGGAAGAAUAAGCUGAACGUGUUCAGUGAUGACGGUACCUGCAGAAUAAGCACCGGCUAACUCCGUGCCAGCAGCCGCGGUAAUACGGAGGGUGCGAGCGUUGUCCGGAUUUAUUGGGUUUAAAGGGUGCGUAGGCGGCUUUUUAAGUCUGGGGUGAAAGCCCGCUGCUCAACAGCGGAACUGCCCUGGAUACUGGAGAGCUUGAGUACAGACGAGGUUGGCGGAAUGGACUGAGUAGCGGUGAAAUGCAUAGAUACAGUCCAGAACACCGAUUGCGAAGGCAGCUGACUAGGCUGUUACUGACGCUGAGGCACGAAAGCGUGGGGAGCGAACA